UAAUUGAUCGAAUGGUUGCCA
Molecule: non-coding RNA, 21 nt
Filed under: Arabidopsis thaliana (thale cress)
Lineage: Eukaryota; Viridiplantae; Streptophyta; Magnoliopsida; Brassicales; Brassicaceae
Source: RNAcentral